RNAcentral lists this ribosomal RNA (528 nucleotides) under uncultured bacterium. RNAcentral's name for it is "bacterial SSU rRNA". It matches the Rfam family "Bacterial small subunit ribosomal RNA", at positions 845 to 1368 of the family's 1533-position model. The record is from RNAcentral.
GCGGCAGCUAAGGCAAUAAGUAUUCCCCUUGGGGAUUACGACCGCAAGGUUGAAAUUCAAAGGAAUUGAGGGGGGCCCGCACAACGCGGUGGAUUAUGUGGUUUAAUUGGAAGCAACGCGAAGACCCUUACCAGGGCUUGACUAUCCUACUAACGAGGUAGAGAUACGUUAGGUGCCUUUCGGGGAAAGUAGAGACAGGUGGUGCAUGGUUGUCGUCAGCUCGUGUCGUGAGAUGUUGGGUUAAGUCCCGCAACGAGCGCAACCCCUGCCAUUAGUUGCUACGCAAGAGCACUCUAAUGGGACCGCUACCGACAAGGUGGAGGAAGGUGGGGACGACGUCAAAUCAUCAUGCCCUCUUAUGACCUGGGCUACACACGUAAUACAAUGGCCGUUUAACAGCAGGAAGCGAAGGCGCGAGCCGGAGCAAACCCCCAAAAACGGUCUCAGUUCGGAUCGCAGGCUGAAACCCGCCUGCGUGAAGUUGGAAUUGUCUAGUAAUCGCGAGAUUCAGCAUGUACGCGGGAAACU